This is an RNA transcript of Eutrema salsugineum, 1878 nucleotides long. RefSeq lists it as uncharacterized. The record is from RefSeq and is a predicted model, not a curated record. Lineage: Eukaryota; Viridiplantae; Streptophyta; Magnoliopsida; Brassicales; Brassicaceae. The transcript is spliced from 6 exons.
AAAAAAAAAUGGCUAAACCAUCUCUUCUCUCGACGAAUCCAAAAUGGCUUCUUUCAACCAUUGUUGGCUCUCUUCUCCACUCGCCGAACCUCCCACUUUCUUCCUAUCUCCAUCUCCACAACCAAAAUCCUAUAAACUCUCUGUUUUCCGAAACAAAUCUUCGCCGCUACCCAACUGUUCCUCGCCGGACCGCACGCCGGAGGUUGAGCUCGCCGUCGAUCCCGUGAAGCUCGCCUUGAAGAAAGCCGAAGCGUAUAAAAAAUCGAAAUUGAAACCGAAAGCGGAGGAGCAGCAAGACCGAGAGAGAAAUGCCGGUGACGAGACGAAAGUUUCUAAGCAAAAAGCUGAUGAUUAUAAGGAAAGUAAAGUGCUUGGAGCUGAUGGUGUCCAGGAGCCUAAACCCAAGCAAAGUGUUGCUAGAUCAUCAUCGAAGGCUGAUGAAGAUAAUGAUGGUAAUAAGAAGAAAGACUUGAAAGUAUCGAGCAUUGAUUUCGUUGGGCUUGGUUUUGCUGAUAAGAAGAACACGAGGGGGCUUCCACCGGGACUGGUUCCUGUUGUCGAUUAUUUCCCUGGAGAAGACUUACCUGAGGUGGAGAUUCUUGUUGGUGACAAAACAAGAUUUGCAGAGACAGAAAAGGAGCUGGAGCAAGAAGGAAAUGAAAACUCUGAUGUAUAUAAGCCCAAAGUUUCGACAUGGGGUGUUUUCCCAAGACCAAGCAACAUCUCUAAAACGUUUGGUGGUGGAAGGACUCUCCAACCAGGGGAUUCAGUUGAAACCGCUGAAGAGAGGAUUGCAAGAGAAGAACGUACAAAACAAUUGCUCACUGCCUACAAGGAAUCAAUCGGACUGAAUAUUGAUCCCAAACUCAAACUUGAGUGUGAGGAGGCACUAGAAAAGGGGAACUCGCUUAUGGAUUCAGGGAAACUCAAAGAAGCUUUGCCGUACUAUGAAAAGGUCAUGGAGAAAAUAGUCUUCAAGUUGUGCAGAGUGAGCUUCAUGGAUUAGCAGCUUUGCAGUGGUCUAUUUGUCAGGAUUCACUUCGGAAGUAAGUAACAUGCUUUGUUGUUGAAAACUCGAAAUCGUUUUACUUUUUCUUCGUUGGCUUCACAACUGUUAAAAAUUUAUUAAGCAGUUUGAUAAGGGUUUGAAAAAAGAAACUGUUUUUAUUUCUCCCUAAGGCUGAAGUACAAACACUGAGCCCAGUAUUACCAAUUCAGAAUGACCUAAGCAUUUGAUCUAGAGAACCCAAAAAAAAUCUCCCAAGCUCCAAAAAAGCCUCAAGAAAAUCACAACAUACUAGAUAUAUCCUAACGUUUAAAUCCCCUGUUUAUAUACUAACCAAGUUGGUGGCUCAUUUGAUGAUGUUGGUCUCUUGUGCGUUAAAAUCGUUAUUUUGGAGUGAUUGACAGAGAAGAUAAGGCAAGGGGCAUGUAUGAGAAGCUUCUAUCCCACCCAAACCCGAGAGUGAGCAAGAAAGCGAGGCAGUUCAUGUUCAGUUUUCAGGCAAUGGAGAUGUUGAAGGUUAAGGGGUCGAGCUUCAUGCAGAUUAACCCUGGGUAUGAGGAUUACUUUGAAGCCUUUGUCAAAAAAGACAAAAUGAAUUACAAAACAGAGGAGGAAGAAGAAGGAGAGGCAUUGGGAAUAAAUGAGACGCUUCUUUAUGUGAUUCUUCUUGCGUCUCCGAUUCUAUUGAUCAUUUUUGUGGCUGCACAGAGAGGGAAUAUUCACUGAAGGCACAAACCCUUGUCAACUUCUUCAUGUAAUUUUUGUAAAUAUAUAAGGUAAUGUUAUGCAAAGCAGCCAAAUUAGUCGUUGGUUGGCUUGCAUCUGUUUAUUGACCUUAAUUGAAAAUUCAAUUCAUUUUGUUAAGAGUUGAA